UCCAGACUCCUACGGGAGGCAGCAGUGGGGGAUAUUGGACAAUGGGGGGAACCCUGAUCCAGCGACGCCGCGUGAGUGAAGAAGUAUUUCGGUAUGUAAAGCUCUGUCAGCAGGGAAGAAAGCAAUGACGGUACCUGACCAAGAAGCCCCGGCUAACUACGUGCCAGCAGCCGCGGUAAUACGUAGGGGGCAAGCGUUAUCCGGAAUUACUGGGUGUAAAGGGAGCGUAGACGGCUGUGCAAGUCUGGAGUGAAAGGCGGGGGCCCAACCCCCGGACUGCUCUGGAAACUGUGAAGCUGGAGUGCAGGAGAGGUAAGCGGAAUUCCUGGUGUAGCGGUGAAAUGCGUAGAUAUCAGGAGGAACACCGGCGGCGAAGGCGGCUUACUGGACUGUAACUGACGUUGAGGCUCGAAGGCGUGGGGAGCAAACAGGAUUAGAUACCCUUGUA
RNAcentral lists this ribosomal RNA (448 nucleotides) under uncultured bacterium. Its description in RNAcentral is "bacterial SSU rRNA". It matches the Rfam family "Bacterial small subunit ribosomal RNA", at positions 330 to 792 of the family's 1533-position model. The record is from RNAcentral.